GAGUUUGAUCCUGGCUCAGAACGAACGCUGGCGGCGUGCCUGAGACAUGCAAGUCGUGGGAGAAAGUCGUAGCAAUACGGCUAGUAAACCGGCGCACGGGUGAGUAACACGUGGACAACCUGCCUUAGAGUCUGGGAUAACCCGUCGAAAGACGAGCUAAUACCGGAUAAGACCACGGGAAGUUCGCUUCCUGAGGUAAAAGAUGGCCUCUGCUCCUGCAAGCUAUCACUUUGAGAGGGGUCCGCGUCCUAUCAGCUAGUUGGCGAGGUAACGGCUCACCAAGGCUAAGACGGGUAGCUGGUCUGAGAGGAUGGUCAGCCACACUGGGACUGAGACACGGCCCAGAGUCCUACGGGAUGCAGCAGUCAGGAAUAUUGCGCAAUGGAGGAAACUCUGACGCAGCGACGCCGCGUGGGUGAUGAAGGCCUUCGGGUCGUAAAGCCCUGUCGGAGGGGAAGAAAAGUCUGUUGGCUAAUAUCCGGCGGACCUUUGACGGUACCCUCAAAGGAAGCACCGGCUAACUCCGUGCCAGCAGCCGCGGUAAGACGGAGGGUGCAAGCGUUGUUCGGAUUGACUGAGCGUAAAGGGCGUGUAGGC
RNAcentral lists this ribosomal RNA (597 nucleotides) under uncultured bacterium. RNAcentral's name for it is "bacterial SSU rRNA". It matches the Rfam family "Bacterial small subunit ribosomal RNA", at positions 9 to 576 of the family's 1533-position model. The record is from RNAcentral.